GGUUAAGCGACUAAGCGUACACGGUGGAUGCCCUGGCAGUCAGAGGCGAUGAAGGACGUGCUAAUCUGCGAUAAGCGCCGGUAAGGUGAUAUGAACCGUUAUAACCGGCGAUUUCCGAAUGGGGAAACCCAGUGUGAUUCGUCACACUAUCAUUAACUGAAUCCAUAGGUUAAUGAGGCGAACCGGGGGAACUGAAACAUCUAAGUACCCCGAGGAAAAGAAAUCAACCGAGAUUCCCCCAGUAGCGGCGAGCGAACGGGGAGGAGCCCAGAGCCUGAAUCAGCAUGUGUGUUAGUGGAAGCGUCUGGAAAGGCGCGCGAUACAGGGUGACAGCCCCGUACACAAAAGCGCAUGUGCUGUGAGCUCGAUGAGUAGGGCGGGACACGUGGUAUCCUGUCUGAAUAUGGGGGGACC
Molecule: ribosomal RNA, 414 nt
Filed under: Salmonella enterica
Lineage: Bacteria; Pseudomonadati; Pseudomonadota; Gammaproteobacteria; Enterobacterales; Enterobacteriaceae
Description: partial 23S ribosomal RNA
Rfam family: Bacterial large subunit ribosomal RNA
Source: RNAcentral